GCCGACGAUGCGUAGGGGUUCUGAGAGGAAGGUCCCCCACAUUGGAACUGAGACACGGUCCAAACUCCUACGGGAGGCAGCAGUGAGGAAUAUUGGUCAAUGGCCGGAAGGCUGAACCAGCCAAGUCGCGUGAGGGAAUAAGGCCCUACGGGUCGUAAACCUCUUUUGUCAGGGAGCAAGGCCGCCCACGUGUGGACGGAAGGAGAGUACCUGGAGAAAAAGCAUCGGCUAACUCCGUGCCAGCAGCCGCGGUAAUACGGAGGAUGCGAGCGUUAUCCGGAUUUAUUGGGUUUAAAGGGUGCGUAGGCGGCCUGCCAAGUCAGCGGUAAAAUUGCGGGGCUCAACCCCGUACAGCCGUUGAAACUGCCGGGCUCGAGUGGGCGAGAAGUAUGCGGAAUGCGUGGUGUAGCGGUGAAAUGCAUAGAUAUCACGCAGAACCCCGAUUGCGAAGGCAGCAUACCGGCGCCCUACUGACGCUGAGGCACGAAAGUGCGGGGAUCAAACAGGAUUAGAUACCCUGGUAGUCCGCACAGUAAACGAUGAAUGCUAGCUGUCCGGGGGGAUUGACCCCUGG
RNAcentral lists this ribosomal RNA (574 nucleotides) under uncultured bacterium. Its description in RNAcentral is "bacterial SSU rRNA". It matches the Rfam family "Bacterial small subunit ribosomal RNA", at positions 272 to 842 of the family's 1533-position model. The record is from RNAcentral.